This is a long non-coding RNA of Ostrinia nubilalis (European corn borer), 1759 nucleotides long. RefSeq lists it as uncharacterized. The record is from RefSeq and is a predicted model, not a curated record. Lineage: Eukaryota; Metazoa; Arthropoda; Insecta; Lepidoptera; Crambidae. The transcript has 2 exons.
CAAAAAUAAAGGCCUCAAUAAAAAAUAUAUUUUUGUUGAGGGACUGAUAAUCAGUUAGAGUUCUUUUUUAUUGAGGCACUGAUAAUCCUUUUUUUUGCUUCUUUAGCAUUUCAGAAUGCCUCCAGUAUCACCCUUAAAACCAAUUGCGUAGAAUCUUGUAACUUAGUAGGUGACGUUAUCGGUAAAAUUUUAUCUUGUAUUUAAGUAGGUACCUAUUUAUAUUAUGUUAUUGCUAUUUAUCUAUGAAAAUAAGACAAAAUAUAUGUUUUAUAAACAUUUAAGAGUCAUUUACAGUAGUAAAGUUUGAAAAAAAUAUUGCUGUGAAGUACAGAAUCACUUUCGUGGCAUCAAAAAAUUCAAAACGUUAAAGCUUCCAAACGAGACUCACUAUUUGACUGAUUUACUGAGAAUACAUUCUUCCCAUCAAGCGCUACAAUUUUUGUUUACAAAAAGUUGAAAUAAGUUAGAAAUAAAAUUUGCCACGAAGGUGACGAUGAGAACCGUGGCGAUGAGAAAUACCCAUUUUGGGUUGGCCGCCAUUUUGUCUCAAAAGAACCUACUCAUUUAUUGUCUGUCUAUAAUUUUAUUCGUAUCUUUUUCAACUAAAGUGUCUUCUAAUUCUAAUAUUUUAGCUGAAGCCCUAGGCUCCGGCCGCUGCCCGCCUCCCAAUAAAAUCCACACCUACAGCAAGAAGGCAACCUGCAAGCAGGACUACGAAUGCAAGAACGGGAUGAUCUGCUGCACCAAUCCUGCGCACGUCAAGUCCUGCACCUACCCUGAGCCCUAUAAUGGAGGGAAUGGAGGCAGCUAUAUGUAUUCAUCUAGCGGCACUAGUGUUCACUGCGAGGGUGUGAAGUGCCAGCCCUUCGAAGUCUGCAAGCCGGACCCCAUCACCAAGAGACUGAAGUGUUCUCGGCCUUAGACCUUAGUUUAAAAAAAAAUGGCCAAGUGCGUGUCGUGCGUGACACGCGCAGUGUAGGGUUCCGUAGUUGUCCGUCGUUACCACAAUAUAUUUUAGAAGCAAGCAAUUACUUCAUAUAAAGUCACUUUUCAUAUUUUCUUCUAAGAAAUUUUUACUGGUUAAGAAAUGUUAUAAUACCUACAUGAGUCAAAUGACUUUUACUCUUAAACUAACUUAUGUAUCUUAACCGUUAUAGUUUUCCUUGAAAGUUCAUAAAAAGCAGUAUUAUUCCGAAUUUUUCCAGAUGUUUCAGCACAGUUUAGUUUUUAGAAGGGGGGAGACGCCCUACUCGAACAAAAAUUGGCACUUUAAACUUUAAUAAUUUGCAAACAGAUCCCUAAAUGGAAAAAUAGUCUUAGAAACCUAAGCCAUUUUAAAAGAGCUAUCCAACGAUACCCCACACAAUGGGGUAGAAUAUGAAAAAAAAUCACUAAAAAACCCCACUUUACAUGUAGGUAAGGCAUUUUUUUUCAAAAUUUUGUUUUUUCCGUUUUGUCGGCGUGAAUAUACAUACUUCCACAAAAUUACAGCUCCAAUACAGUGCCAAUAUAGUUUCCAAGCAAAACCUUGGACAGACAGACAGACAUAUCGAAACUAUAAGGGUUCCUUGUCAGGACUACGGAACCCUAAAAAAGGUUUUACAGACCUCUUGCUGUAGGUCUAAAUGACGACAUUAUACGUUUUAUAAGCUUUGCGAACGCAAUUCACAAUGAACUGUGUCCAUAUUUUGUUUGCCUUUGUAUUGUAACUAACUUAAAUAUACAUAUGUGUAUCAUAAUAAAAUAUUUUUACUAUUUA